RNAcentral lists this transfer RNA (73 nucleotides) under Stegodyphus mimosarum. It matches the Rfam family "tRNA". Rfam says of the family: Transfer RNA (tRNA) molecules are approximately 80 nucleotides in length. Their secondary structure includes four short double-helical elements and three loops (D, anti-codon, and T loops). The record is from Rfam by way of RNAcentral. Lineage: Eukaryota; Metazoa; Arthropoda; Arachnida; Araneae; Eresidae.
GCCUUCGGGAUGUAAAUUGGUAGCACACUCGACUCCUAUUCGAGAAGACCAGGUUCGAGUUCCGGCGAGGGCA